CAGAGGGUGCGAGCGUUAAUCGGAAUUACUGGGCGUAAAGCGCACGUAGGUGGCGACGUAAGUCGGGUGUGAAAGCCCCGGGCUCAACCUGGGAAUUGCAUUCGAGACUGCAUCGCUGGAGUACGGAAGAGGAAGGCGGAAUUCCCGGUGUAGCAGUGAAAUGCGUAGAUAUCGGGAGGAACAUCAGUGGCGAAGGCGGCCUUCUGGUCCAGUACUGACACUCAAGUGCGAAAGCGUGGGGAGCAAACAGGAUUAGAUACCCUGGUAGUCCACGCCCUAAACGAUGACGACUGGAUGUCGGAGGGGUCUGCCUUUCGGUGUCGUAGCUAACGCGUUAAGUCGUCCGCCUGGGGAGUACGGCCGCAAGGUUG
This 371-nucleotide ribosomal RNA is filed under the name uncultured organism. RNAcentral's name for it is "bacterial SSU rRNA". It matches the Rfam family "Bacterial small subunit ribosomal RNA", at positions 526 to 896 of the family's 1533-position model. The record is from RNAcentral.